AAUGAACGCUGGCGGCAGGCCUAACACAUGCAAGUCGAGCGGAAACGAUCCUAGUUUGCUAGGAGGCGUCGAGCGGCGGACGGGUGAGUAACGCGUGAGAAUCUACCCAUGAGUGGGGGACAACCCGGGGAAACUCGGGCUAAUACCGCAUACGCCCUACGGGGUAAAGCAGGGGACCUUCGGGCCUUGCGCUGAUGGAUGAGCUCGCGUCGGAUUAGCUUGUUGGUGAGGUAAAGGCUCACCAAGGCGACGAUCCGUAGCUGGUCUGAGAGGAUGAUCAGCCACACCGGGACUGAGACACGGCCCGGACUCCUACGGGAGGCAGCAGUGGGGAAUCUUGGACAAUGGGGGCAACCCUGAUCCAGCCAUGCCGCGUGUGUGAAGAAGGCCUUCGGGUUGUAAAGCACUUUCAGCAGGGAGGAAGGCUUACCCCUAAUACGGGUGAGUACUUGACGUUACCUGCAGAAGAAGCACCGGCUAAUUUCGUG
RNAcentral lists this ribosomal RNA (488 nucleotides) under uncultured bacterium. RNAcentral's name for it is "bacterial SSU rRNA". It matches the Rfam family "Bacterial small subunit ribosomal RNA", at positions 29 to 507 of the family's 1533-position model. The record is from RNAcentral.